AGCGAACGCUGGCGGCAGGCUUAACACAUGCAAGUCGAGCGGGCACUUUCGGGUGUCAGCGGCGGACGGGUGAGUAACGCGUGGGAACGUGCCCUCUGGUUCGGAAUAACUCAGGGAAACUUGAGCUAAUACCGGAUACGCCCUUUUGGGGAAAGGCUUGCUGCCGGAGGAUCGGCCCGCGUCUGAUUAGCUAGUUGGUGAGGUAACGGCUCACCAAGGCGACGAUCAGUAGCUGGUCUGAGAGGAUGAUCAGCCACACUGGGACUGAGACACGGCCCAGACUCCUACGGGAGGCAGCAGUGGGGAAUAUUGGACAAUGGGCGCAAGCCUGAUCCAGCCAUGCCGCGUGAGUGAUGAAGGCCUUAGGGUUGUAAAGCUCUUUUAUCCGGGACGAUCAUGACGGUACCGGAGGAAUAAGCCCCGGCUAACUUCGUG
This 435-nucleotide ribosomal RNA is filed under the name uncultured bacterium. Its description in RNAcentral is "partial 16S ribosomal RNA". It matches the Rfam family "Bacterial small subunit ribosomal RNA", at positions 29 to 507 of the family's 1533-position model. The record is from RNAcentral.